This 697-nucleotide ribosomal RNA is filed under the name uncultured bacterium. RNAcentral's name for it is "bacterial SSU rRNA". It matches the Rfam family "Bacterial small subunit ribosomal RNA", at positions 590 to 1365 of the family's 1533-position model. The record is from RNAcentral.
UGCUGUGAAACUGGGGGCUCAACCCCCAGCCUGCAGUGGGUACGGGCAGACUAGAGUGCGGUAGGGGAGAUUGGAAUUCCUGGUGUAGCGGUGGAAUGCGCAGAUAUCAGGAGGAACACCGAUGGCGAAGGCAGAUCUCUGGGCCGAACUGACGCUGAGGAGCGAAAGGGUGGGGAGCAAACAGGCUUAGAUACCCUGGUAGUCCACCCCGUAAACGUUGGGAACUAGUUGUGGGGCCGUGACGCAGCUAACGCAUUAAGUUCCCCGCCUGGGGAGUACGGCCGCAAGGCUAAAACUCAAAGGAAUUGACGGGGACCCGCACAAGCGGCGGAGCAUGCGGAUUAAUUCGAUGCAACGCGAAGAACCUUACCAAGGCUUGACAUACAGGUGGUGCAUGGUUGUCGUCAGCUCGUGUCGUGAGAUGUUGGGUUAAGUCCCGCAACGAGCGCAACCCUCGUUCUAUGUUGCAACUCAUGGGAUACUGCCGGGGUCAACUCGGAGGAAGGUGGGGAUGACGUCAAAUCAUCAUGCCCUUAUGUCUUGGGCUUCACGCAUGCUACAAUGGCCGGUACAAAGGGCUGCAAUACCGUAAGGUGGAGCGAAUCCCAAAAAGCCGGUCCCAGUUCGGAUUGAGGUCUGCAACUCGACCUCAUGAAGUCGGAGUCGCUAGUAAUCGCAGAUCAGCACGCUGCGGUGA